Molecule: ribosomal RNA, 426 nt
Filed under: Megaselia rupestris
Lineage: Eukaryota; Metazoa; Arthropoda; Insecta; Diptera; Phoridae
Description: partial 16S ribosomal RNA
Source: RNAcentral
UUUUAGAAAUUAAUUUAAAGUCUAACCUGCCCACUGAAUAAUUUUAAAUGGCCGCAGUAUCCUAACUGUGCAAAGGUAGCAUAAUCAUUAGUCUUUUAAUUGAAGGCUGGAAUGAAUGGUUGGAUGAAAUAUUAACUGUUUCAUAAAAAUUUAUAAUAGAAUUUUAUUUUUUAGUCAAAAAGCUAAAAUAUUAUUAAAAGACGAGAAGACCCUAUAAAUCUUUAUAUUUAAAUAAUUUUAAUUAUUUAGAUAAAUUAAAUUAUAAUUAUUUUAAAUAUUUUAUUGGGGUGAUAUUAAAAUUUAAUAAACUUUUAAUUUAUUAUAAACAUAAAUUAAUGAAUUAUUGAUCCAUUUAUUAUGAUUAAAAAUUUAAGUUACUUUAGGGAUAACAGCGUAAUUUUUUUAGAGAGUUCAUAUUGAUAAAAA